CAAUCACUUGUUUUUUAAAUGAAGACCUGUAUGAAAGGUAGUACGAGGGCUAAACUGUCUCCCUCUUUUAAUCCAUGAAAUUGAUCUCCCCGUGCAGAAGCGGGGAUAUACACAUAAGACGAGAAGACCCUGUGGAGCUUUAAACACAGAGAAGACGUACAUUAAAUUUGUUUAAUUAAAAACUCAACCUUGUACUCCCCUUCCCCUGUUUUUGGUUGGGGCGACCACGGAGGAAAAUACAACCUCCACGAAGACAGGAAGCACCCGCUUCUACAAGGAAGGGUUACAACCCGACCUAGCAGAAAUUCUGACCCCCUGAUCCGGCACGCCGAUCAACGGACCGAGUUACCCCAGGGAUAACAGCGCAAUCUUCUCCCAGAGCCCC
This 385-nucleotide ribosomal RNA is filed under the name Alabes hoesei. Its description in RNAcentral is "partial 16S ribosomal RNA". It matches the Rfam family "Bacterial large subunit ribosomal RNA", at positions 1962 to 2502 of the family's 2925-position model. The record is from RNAcentral. Lineage: Eukaryota; Metazoa; Chordata; Actinopteri; Blenniiformes; Gobiesocidae.